RNAcentral lists this ribosomal RNA (476 nucleotides) under Albizia chinensis. Its description in RNAcentral is "eukaryotic LSU rRNA". The stretch from base 367 to 476 matches the Rfam family "Eukaryotic large subunit ribosomal RNA", at positions 1 to 110 of the family's 3401-position model. The record is from RNAcentral. Lineage: Eukaryota; Viridiplantae; Streptophyta; Magnoliopsida; Fabales; Fabaceae.
AAAUGACUCUUGACAACGGAUAUCUCGGCUCUUGCAUCAAUGAAAAAUGUAGCGAAAUUCCAUACUUGGUAUGAAUAGAAAAAUCCAGUGAACCAUCGAGCCUUUAAACACAAGUUGCACCUAAAGUCGUUAGGCUGAGGGCACUUCUACCUAGGUGCCACGCAACGUUGCUAGCUUCCGAUCCUUCGGGUGCGGCGGAUGAUGGCCUCUCAAGAGCCUCGCCUCCCAGCCGACCGAAAAAAGGGACCUAUGUGACGGCCGCCAAGAUCCACGAUGGUAGAGUGAGUGUUUGCUUGAGGCGAGGACGUGAGUGAGUCGUCCAACUAGGAUGGCCCACUGGAAAGGGAAAAGCCUUUCGCUCUUACGCGACCCCAGGUCAGGCGGGGCUACCCAUUGAGUUUAAGCAUAUCAAUAAGUAGAGGAAAAGAAACUAACGAGGAUUCCCCUAAUAAUGGCGAGAGAACCAGGAAUAGCCC